GANGAACGCUAGCUACAGGCUCAACACAUGCAAGUCGAGGGGCAGCAUGGCCAAAGCUUGCUUUGGCCGAUGGCGACCGGCGCACGGGUGAGUAACAGGUAUCCAACCUUCCCAUUACCCGGGUACAGGCUUUCGAAAGAAAGGUUAAUACCCCGAUGCCGUGGGAUCCCCUCCUGGGGUUCCCAUGAAAGGAUUCCGGUAAUGGAUGGGGAUGCCCUCCAUUAGAUCGUAGGCGGGGUAACGGCCCACCUAGUCUUCGAUGGAUAGGGGUUCUGAGAGGAAGUCCCCCCACAUUGGAACUGAGACACGGUCCAAACUCCUACGGGAGGCAGCAGUGAGGAAUAUUGGUCAAUGGGCGCAAGCCUGAACCAGCCAAGUAGCGUGAAGGACGACUGCCCUACGGGUUGUAAACUUCUUUUGCAUCCGAAUAAAACGGGGCACGCGUGCCCCCUUGCAUGUAGGAUGGGAAUAAGGAUCGGCUAACUCCGUGCCAGCAGCCGCGGUAAUACGGGGGAUCCCAGCGUUAUCCGGAUUUAUUGGGUUUAAAGGGUGCGUANGUGGAUGUUUCAGUCAGCUGUGAAAGUUUUUGGCUCAACCUUGAAAUUGCAGUUGAUACUUUACAUCUUGAG
Molecule: ribosomal RNA, 629 nt
Filed under: uncultured bacterium
Lineage: Bacteria
Description: bacterial SSU rRNA
Rfam family: Bacterial small subunit ribosomal RNA
Source: RNAcentral